AGUGAACGCUGGCGGUAGGCCUAACACAUGCAAGUCGAACGGCAGCACAGGAGAGCUUGCUCUCUGGGUGGCGAGUGGCGGACGGGUGAGGAAUACAUUGGCAUCUACUCUGUCGUGGGGGAUAACGUAGGGAAACUUACGCUAAUACCGCAUACGACCUACGGGUGAAAGCAGGGGACCUUCGGGCCUUGCGCGCGGGAAUGAGCCGAUGUCGGAUUAGGUAGUUGGCGGGGUAAAGUCCCACCAAGGCGACGAUCCGUAGCUGGUCUGGGAGGAUGAUGAGCCACACUGGAACAGUGACACGGUACCGACUACUACCGGAGGCAGCAGUGGAGAGUAUGAGACAAGGGGCGCGAGCCUGGUCCAGCCAUGCCGAGUGUGGGGAGAAAGGCUUCGGGUUGUAAAGCCCUUUUGUUGGGAAAGAAAGCCAGCUGUCUACUACCCGGUGGGGAUGACGGUACCCAAAGAAUAAGCACCGGCUAACUUCGUGCCAGCAGCCGCAGUAA
RNAcentral lists this ribosomal RNA (506 nucleotides) under uncultured bacterium. RNAcentral describes it as "partial 16S ribosomal RNA". It matches the Rfam family "Bacterial small subunit ribosomal RNA", at positions 29 to 523 of the family's 1533-position model. The record is from RNAcentral.